RNAcentral lists this long non-coding RNA (8163 nucleotides) under Homo sapiens (human). Its description in RNAcentral is "HSALNT0228969". The stretch from base 2375 to 2522 matches the Rfam family "Metazoan signal recognition particle RNA". The record is from RNAcentral. Lineage: Eukaryota; Metazoa; Chordata; Mammalia; Primates; Hominidae.
AGGUCAGCCACCUGCAGCCAAGGAGAGAGGCCUCUGAGGAAACCAACCCUGCCAGCACUUUGAUCUUGAACUUCCAGCCUCCAGAACUGUGAGAAAGUAUAUUCCUGUUGUUUAAGCCACCCAGUCUAUGGCAUUUUGUUUUGGCAGCUUUAGCAGACUAAUAUACUUCCCCAUUCCCCCACAGUGCUUCCUGGGGUCAAUUCUCAGAUAAAUGAUUUGCACUUUAAUCCUUAUCUCAGGGGCCAGGUGGGAGGGGGCUCACGCCUGUAAUCCCAGCACUUUGGGAAGCCGAGGUGGGCAGAUCACCUGAGGUCAGGAGUUCAAGAGCAGCCUGACCAACAUAGUGAAACAUCGUCUCCACUAACUUUACAAAAUGUAGCUGGGUGGGGCGGCACAUUGCUGUAGUCCCAGCUACUCAGGAGGCUGAGGCAGGAGAAUCCCUUGAACCCGGGAGGUGGAGGUUGCAGUGAACUGAGAUCGUGCCACUGCACUACAGCCUGGGUGACAGAGUGACUUCGUCUAAAAAAAAAAAAAUUAUCUCAGGAAACCAACUCGCAGACCAACAACGCAUAUAUGGUGGGACAUAGACCCCAAGUAAGAGUGAAGCGAAGACUCAACUUUAACCACCACCCUCUAAGUUUCUUUUGAGGAGCUUGGAGAACGUCACUCCCUGUGGGUCUAAGUGGUACAGGCGCUAAAAAAUUAUUUAGGCAGAUAGUGAGGGUAAGGAAGUCCUCGGCUGUUUCCCUUUUAACAAAAAGCAGUCCCUAAAUCAUUUAUUUUCUAACAAAGAGCAGCCUGUAAAAUCGAGCUGCAGACAUAGAUAAGCAAGCUGGAAGCUUGCAUGGGUGAAUGCAGCAGCUGUGCCAAUAGGAAAAGGCUACGUGGCGGCCAGGCAUGUUCAACAUGGCGGCUCCAUCUUCCCUUUUCUUUGUCAACUAGGUGUACAGUAAGGAACCGACAACAUCACACCGGCCAGGUAGAGAAGCCAUUUGCAUAAUAGAAGAUUAGGGUGGGGUGGCCAGCUUCUUUGCGCGCUUUGUAAACAUCACACCUAGUCCACCAAUCUUUGGGCCCUAUGUAAAUUAGACAACACCUCCUCAAGCCAGUCUAUAAACCCUCCCCUCCCCGCACAUGCAUUUCACCGCAAAACCCAAAGACCCACUUAGGUGUCCCCUCUCUCCGCAGAAGAGAGAGCUUUUCCCUUUCUCUCUGUUAAACCUCUUCUCUUAAACUCACUUCUUGCGUGUCCUCGUCCUCGAUUUCCUUGGCGUAAGACGACGAACCUCAGGCAUUUACCCCAGACAACGAAGGUGCUUCAUAAGGUCAUGCAGCUGGGUCAACAUAGGACUGUGUAGCCAAGAGCUACAGGAUGGAUUGCUGAGGCCAGGGAGAUUGAAAGGAAGUCACAGCCCAAUCUCAGAGGGAUCCACGGAGCCAGCGAAAGCUAAGGCGGGACUUACCCAACAGAGGGUCCUGGCCCAGUCACCCAGUGGCACAACCCAACUGGGAGAUCUGAGCAUCUACCAACUGUGGCCACCAGUGAGAUGGUGUCAUUGUCUGGGAGGCCAGCAGAAGUCUCAGUGAUCGGGCAGGACAAAGGACAUUUCUGCAGAGAAUACUGAAGGUCCAGGAGACAGCACAGUGGGACAUAUGUGGGCCCCUGCCCCAUCAUUAGGAGGAAGUGUAGGCUUUUCUGAGGACCUGGAUGCCAUACCAUCUUGAGACAGAGAAUGAGGAACCAACCCUUGACAAGAGAGAGAUGGCCCUGGUAGAGAAUUUGAACCUUGAAUUGGAUUGAAUAUUUAUCCAAAAGAAAUUGAACCAGCACUAGAGAGACUGUUUUGAACUAGAAGUAACCAAGUUACCUUAACUGGAAGUUAGGAUUUUUCCACCCCUGACAUCAGUGGGACAAGGGCACAUGAGCAAGAUAUUUACGGACAAAGAAGAACGUUCAUGUUUUGUACACCUGCUUUGUAGUAUGUUGCAGAUACCGUUGGUUCCCCUGAUUUCAGGUGUUCUCGUUCUUUCUGUACAGUCACUUGCUCAGGGCAAAUGGUCCUCUCCUGCAUGACUCAGAAGCACAUACUGAUUAUUCUAAACUGGUCUUCAUGCCCCGUUCCCUUGUCAGUGAUGUAGUUAGGCAAAGGAUUAUGUAACAAUUCUGGCUAUGAGACAUUGAAACUUCUACUGUGGGGCAUCUGGGAAGAUUUUUCUCAUUGAAAAGAAGAGACGCAGGGUGUGGAGACUCAUGCCUGUAAUCCGAGCCCUUGGGAGGCCCAGGAGGGAGGGUCACCUGAGUCCAAGAGCUCAAGGCCAGUUCGAGCAACAUACCAAGGCUGCAAUAAACAAGCAAACAAACAAACAAACAUUAGCUGGGCACGGUAGUGCACACCUGUAGUCCCAGCUACUCAGGAGGCUGAAAUGGGAGGAUUGCUUGAGCCCAGGAGUUUGAGGCUGCAGUGAGCUAUGAUUGCACCACUGCACUUCAGCCUGGGCAACAGAGCGAGAUCCUGUCUCUAUAAAAAAAUUUUAAAAAAAGGAAGAAAAGAAAAGAAGAGACACACGUGGAAGAAACAGUCUCUAUUCUGAUGCAAGUAAUGACUGGAACUGUGGCAGACAGCUUGGAACCAUGAGAGGAGUUAACUGAGGGCUAUCAGGGAAACUAGAAGAAGCCUGGGUCCUUGAGGAGGCAGACUACUAAAUGGACCAUCGUCCCUUCACCCUUUUUGUUAUGUGAGAUAAUAAACUCUCUAAUUUAAAUCUACUUGAGAUGAAUAUCUGAUACUUGUAGCCAAAAUCAUCCUUAAUGGGACAGAGUGUGGGUAAAUUAUCAACCUUGCUAGCCUUGCCUCAUAAUUUUUGAAUUUAUUUUUAUCUUUUAAUUUUGUUUAUUUUUUAUUUUUAAAGUAGAGACAGGAUCUCAUUAUGUUGCUCAGGCUGGUCUCGAAUCCCUGGCCUCAAGGGAUCCUCCUGCCUCAGCCUCCUAAAGUGCUGAGAUUACAGGUAUGAGCCCCUAUGCCAGGCCAUUGCUUUGCCAUUGUAUCCAUGUGAUUGCAAAAAAGAAAAUCGUGCUAAUAGUCAUUAGCUUUGAAAGACACUUGGAAUUUCUUCCUUCAAGCGAGCUUUAUUCCCAAACUGUUGAACCCUCUGGGUUUGACAGCAGGAUCUACUUCACAUGGUAGCAUCUCCUUCUAUUUGCCUUCAAGACAUUUCCUAAGGGAAGAGAUGAAGACACACUUGUAACGUGAACAAAAUAAUCCUUUUUCCUUUUAAAAAUGUAUGAUUAAAAUGUAAAAUAUAUAUAUAUAUUCUUAAAUGUAAAAUAUAUAUAUAUAUCUUCUAGAGUUGCCUGGAAAGUGAGCUGAGAGCAGUUAAACAUCAAACCCACUGCUGCUUUCCAGCUUUAACCAGAAUCACCAUUGUCUUUCCCUAUGAAAGAAAGGAAAUCUUAGAACUUAAAAGGAUUUCAAGAAGAACUGAAUUUUAACCACUGAGAUGACCAGAGAUGUAAGGCUCACACUGACUGAAGCAGUAUAAUUUGGCUGUCUUUUUAACAUUCAGAAUUCUCUCUGACUCUCCAAAAUUGCAUCUACUUUGAUGAGCUUAUUUUUUUCCUCAACCAAAUUACAUUUCUUGGAGUUCACCUGAUACAUCAUGCCUACUUACUUUUUUUUUUAGAUGGAGUCUUGCUCUGUCACCCAGGCUGGAGUGCAGUGGUGCAAUCUCGGCUCAUUGCAACCUCUGCCUCCCAGGUUCAAGUGAUUCUCCUGCCUCAGCCCCCCAAGUAGCUGGGAUUACAGGUGCGUGCCACCACGCCCAGCUAAUUUUUGUAUUUUUAGUAGAGACAGGGUUUCGCCAUGUUGGUCAGGCUGGUCUCGAACUCCUGACCUCAAGUGACCCACCUGCCUUGGCCUCCCAAAGCGCUGGGAUUACAGGGGUAAGCCACCAUGUCCAGCCCUGCCUACUUACUUUGAACAAAUUAUUUCAGGCUAAUUUACUAGCUGGAGAGAAAGAGGGAGGGAAGCAGGGAGGAAGCAAAGAUAGAGGGAGAGAAAGAGAGGGAGACAGAGAGGAAGAGGGAGAGGGAGAGGAGAGAGAGAGAAAGAAUGAAUUGUGUUCUCCCAAAAUUAGUAUGUUGAAGUCUUAAUAUCCCAGUACCUCAGACUAUGACUGUAUCUGUAGAUAGGGCUUUUGAAAAGGUGAUUAUGUUUAAAUGAGGCCAUUGGGGUGGGCCCUAAUCCAGUCCAACUGUUGUCAUUGUAAGAAGAAGAGAUUAGGACACAGAGAUACCAGGCAUGUGCGUGCCCAGACAGACAACUAUGUGAAGAGACAACAAUAGGUCAGCCAUCUGCAAGCUGAGGAGAGAGGCCUCAGAGGAAACCAACCCUGCCGGCACCUUGAUCUUGGAGUUCCAGCCUCCAGAACUGUGAGAAAAUGUAUUCCUGUUGUUGAAGCCAUUUCUGUUGUUCUGUGGCAUUUUGUUAUGGCAGCCCUAGCAAACUAAUAUGAUAAUUAACUCUUCCAAGUGCUGUUUCCAUUACAAAGUAUCCCAGAAUUUUAUAUUGGUGAAUCUGUGUUCCUCAGGCCAUGUCUUCCCUGUUGGAAAUGCUGUUAUUAUGUCCCAAGGUGACUUCAAGGAGUGGGUUAGAGGCUGAGACAGAGGGUGUGAGAUCGUCACUACUGUAACCUUGCUUUGUUCAGUAUGAACAUGCUCAGAUAUUCUCUGUUUUGUAUUGGGAGAUCGGGAAAGGAUUUAUUGAAAAAAUGUUUCCAUUAGCAAAUGAAGUUUGAAGGCAACUACCGUCUACAAGAGCAAACAAAUGCAUAAAAUUCAAAUAUUAUUUUGUCCCAACCUCAGUGUCAUGAGGGUCUCUUAUACAGAAUAGUAGAUGAGAAUAAAAUUUGAAUUGAUAAUACUGGAAUAGAGUAGUCAUUAUGCAAUGUAACAAACCUCAAAUAUUCAGUGGUUUAACACUAUAGAUGUUUAUUUACCACUCAUUCAAUGUAUGUGUUCCUUGUUAGCAGUAGUUUUCCUUGUAGUCAUUCAGGAAUCCAGGCAUAUUAGUUAUCUAUUUCUGUGUACCCCAUAAAAACCAUUUAUUAUUGCACACUUUCAGAGGGUCAGUAAUUUGGGAGUGGCUUAGCUGGGGUGUUCUGACCAGAGUCUCUCUUGAGGUUGUAGUCAAGAUGUUGGCUAGGGUUGCCAUCAUCUGAAAGCUUGACUGGGACUGUAUCCACUUUCAAGAUGGCGCACUUACUUGGCUGUUGGCAGGAAGCCUCAAUGACUUAUCAUGUGGUCUUCUCCACAGUGCUGCUUGAGCAUCCACACAACAUGGCGCUAGCUUCCCCCAGAAUCAGUUGCUCUGGGGGAAGCCAGCUGUCAUGUGACAAACAGCUCUCCACAGAGGAUUAUGGGGCAUGUAACUGAGGCCUCCAGCCAGCGGCCACGUCAGUGAGUUUGGAAAUAGGUCCUCUAGCCCAGUUGAGCCUUCAGAAGACGACAUGAGGAUUUGCUGCAGUUCUGCCCAACAUCUUGAUUUCAAGCUCAUGAGACAGCCUAAGCCCAAACCACCCAGCUAAGCCAUUCCUAGAUUCCUGACCCAAAGAAACUAUGUGAGAUUAUGUGUCUGGUAUUUUAAGCACUAAGUUCUGGGAUAAUUUGUUUUGAAGCAAUAGUUAAGAAAUACAAUGAGAUAACACUAAACGCAAUGAGAGAGCACUAAACACUAUACUUGGUGUAGAUAAGGUCAUGGAGCCACAGGAAUGCUCAUUUUGUGCUAGUGGAAAAGGAAAUUGGAAAAACCAUUUUGCAAUGUAUAACCAGGUGGCAAUAUCUACAGUUUUAAAGCUAUGCCUAUUAUAUGAUCUCACAGUUCCACUUCUAGGUAUAUAGUGCAUGAUCCUGUGCACAGGAGACAUGCACAUGAAUAUUCAUAGCAGGAAUGUUUGUAGUAGCCUCAAAUUGGAAACCAUCCACAUAUCCAUCAGUAAUGGAAUGGAUAAAUAAGUUUUGGUAGCAGUUGAGCCUUGAACAACACGAGUUUAAACUAUGUGGGUCCACUUAAUAUGCACAUUUUCUGGGUCCACUUAUAUGCAGAUUUUCUUCUACCUCUGCUACCCCUGAGAUGGUAAGACCAUCUUCCUUGAUCCACUUCCACAGUAAAUACAUUUUCUCUUUCUUAUGAUUUUCUUAAUAUCAUUUUCUUUUCCCUAAGCUUACUUGAUUGUAAGUGUACAGUAUGUGAUAAAAAUAACAUGCAAAAUAUGUGUUAAUCAACUGUUAAUGAUCAGUUAAUACUUCUGGUGAACAGUAGGCUGUAAGUAGUUAAGUUUUGGGGAAGUCAAAAGCAUAUGCAGAUAUUUGACUGUGUGGGGUGUUGGUAUCCCUAACCUCGUGCAUUGUUCAAGGGUCAAUUGUAUUUGUACAAUAAAAUGUUAUACAGCAAGGGUUGGAAGAUUUGUUCUGUUAAGGGCCAGAGAGUCAAUAUUUUAGGCUUUAAGGGCUGUACAGUCUCUGUCAUACCUAGUCAACUCUGCUGUUGUAGUAUGUAAGCAGCCACAGAGAAUAGGGAAAUGAAUAAGCAUGGCUAUAUUUCAAUUAUACUUUAUUUACAAAACAGAUGGGGAACUGGAUUUGGCACAGGGGCCACAGUUUUCUGACCAUUACUCUAUAAUAUUGAGAGUAAAAGGGGCCAGGUGCAGUGGCUCACAUCUGUGAUCCCAGCACUUUGGGAGGCUGAGGCAGGAGGAUUGCUUGAGGCCAGUAGAUCAAGACCAGUCUGGGCAACAUGGCGAGACCCCAUGAUAUGGUUUGGAUGUGUGUCCCUCCUCAAAUCUCAUGUCAAAUUGUAAUUCCCAGUGUUGGAGGAGAGGCCUGGUGGGAGGUGAUUGGAUCAUGGGGACAGGCUUUCCCCUUGCUGUUCUUGUGAUAGUGAGUUCUCAUGAGAUCUGGUUGUUUAAAAGUGUGUGGCACCUCCCCCUUCUCUCUCUUCUUCCUGCUCUGGCCACAUAAGACAAGCCUACUUCCACUUCACCUUCUGUCAUGAUUGUAAGUUUCCUGAGGCUUCCCCCACCAUGCUUCCUGUAGAGCCUACAGAACCAUGAGCCAAUAAACCUCUUUUCUUUAUAAAUUACCCAGUCUCAGGUAUUUCUUCAUAGCAGUGUGAGAAUGGACUAAUAUACCCCAUCUCUACAAAAAAAUUUAAAAAAUUAGCCAGGUGUGGUGGUGUGUGCUUGUGGUCCCAGCUACUUGGGAGGCUGAGAUGGGAGGAUCUUUUUAGCCCAGGAUGUGGAGGCUGCAGUGAGCCAUGCUCAGGAUUUUAGUCUGUUCUCACGCUGCUAAUAAAGACAUACCUGAGACUGGGUAAUUUAUAAAGGAAAGAGGUUUGAUGGACUCACAGUUCCACGUGGCUGAGGAGGCCUCACAAUUAUGGUAGAAGGUGAAGGAGGAGCAAAAUCAUGUCUUACAGGGCGGCAGGCAAGAGAGCAUGUGCCAGGAAACUGCCCUUUAUAAAACCAUCAGAUCUCACGAGACUUAUGCACUAUCAUGAGAACAGCACGAGAAAGAUCUGCCUCCAUGAUUCAAUUACCUCCCACAGCGUCCCUCCCAUGACACACGGGAAUUAUGAGAGUUACAAUUCAAGAUGAGAUUUGGGUGGGGACACAGCCAAACCAUAUCACUCAGGUUGGGUGACAGAGCAAGGCCCUGUCUCAAAAAAAUAAACAAGUAAAAUAAUAAAAAAAGAGAGAAUGAAAGAGCCCAGGUACAAACAAGAACAUAGAUAAGUCUUUGAAAAGUAUUGAAUGAAAGAAAUCGGACAUAAAAUAUGUACUCCUAUUUAUAAAAAGUUCAAAAGCAUGAAAAAUGAGACGAUAUUGUUGAGGGAGCAUCUUGAGGAGGUGAAACUAGAAGGCAAAACAAGGAAUUGAGUCUUUAAAAUGCCAGGAUUGUUGUUACUUUGGAGGGUAGAUAGGGGUGUGUAAUUGAGAAGGGGUACCUAAGGGACUCAUGGGGUGCUGGCAAUAACCUUAUUUAUUAAUCUGUUGGGGGUUUCACAGGUGUUUAUACAAUCUGGUAAGUUGUAUAUUUGUGUUUUGUGUUCUUUUCUGUAUUUGCAUUCUAUUUCUCAAUAAAUUGUUGAAGAAAAAUGAAUAUUAAGA